GGUGGGGUUCCCGAGCGGCCAAAGGGAGCAGACUGUAAAUCUGCCGUCAUCGACUUCGAAGGUUCGAAUCCUUUCCCCCACCACCA
Molecule: transfer RNA, 86 nt
Filed under: Escherichia coli
Lineage: Bacteria; Pseudomonadati; Pseudomonadota; Gammaproteobacteria; Enterobacterales; Enterobacteriaceae
Description: tRNA-Tyr
Rfam family: tRNA
About the family: Transfer RNA (tRNA) molecules are approximately 80 nucleotides in length.
Source: RNAcentral